AGAUGGAGGAGAGGCUCGUCGGCAUCUCCGAGGAGAGCACCACCGGUGUCAAGCAGAUGCAGGAGUCCGACACUCUCCUGUUCCACGCCAUCAACGUCACCAAGAGCAAGGUUGCUUUGAUCUGUACAAGCUGCUGCUGCUGCAGGUGGACAAGGAAGCCCUCAUGGCUGCUGCUGCACUACAGUCUGCUUUUCAUUUUUUGAACAAGAUGUAUUAAUGUUAAGUUGACAUUACUGUUGCCUUGAGCUACAUACACUUACUAACAUA
Long non-coding RNA from Triticum dicoccoides, 267 nucleotides. RefSeq lists it as uncharacterized. The record is from RefSeq and is a predicted model, not a curated record. NCBI's taxonomy places the organism in Eukaryota, Viridiplantae, Streptophyta, Magnoliopsida, Poales, Poaceae. The transcript is spliced from 2 exons.